RNAcentral lists this ribosomal RNA (83 nucleotides) under Enterovibrio nigricans DSM 22720. Its description in RNAcentral is "23S rRNA. Bacterial LSU". It matches the Rfam family "Bacterial large subunit ribosomal RNA", at positions 2842 to 2925 of the family's 2925-position model. Lineage: Bacteria; Pseudomonadati; Pseudomonadota; Gammaproteobacteria; Vibrionales; Vibrionaceae. The record is from RNAcentral.
AGACUACGACGUAGAUAGGUCAGGUGUGUAAGCGCUGCGAGGCGUUGAGCUAACUGAUACUAAUUGCCCGUGAGGCUUAACCA